Long non-coding RNA from Thunnus maccoyii (southern bluefin tuna), 5395 nucleotides. RefSeq lists it as uncharacterized. NCBI's taxonomy places the organism in Eukaryota, Metazoa, Chordata, Actinopteri, Scombriformes, Scombridae. The record is from RefSeq and is a predicted model, not a curated record. The transcript has 7 exons.
GAAUUGAAUUGAAUUGAAUUGAAAUUCAGUUAUGGGUGCCCACAGAAGUUACAGUUCUUGACAAAUACGUUAAUAAACACUUACUGCUUACAACUAGUGUGUUACAAAUCCUUUUAUUAACUGUUUCAAUACUGAUUAUAAAUGCUAAAUAUAGGGACUUGAAGUGAAGUGUCACCACAUAAAAAAAUUGCACUGUUUAUUACAUAGAAUGCAGUGUGCAGCGAAAUUUCACAUCUGGACACCCGAAGAAGACUUUCUUAUUUGCCUGUUUUUAGCCCUUUUUGUCCCAAAGUUAGUAAAGCUUACUUCUUCACUGCAUUCUUUGUUGUUAGUGUUCUAGAAGUUCCUGAUGCAGUAACCAGGCUGUGAUCCCUCACUGGCUUCCCGCCGGUGAAUGAUGUGGUUGAGUGUUUGCAUGUGUUCACUGUAAUGUGUGACCAGGCUGAAUGGACCAAGGAAUGAAUCAAGGGUUAGGAGAUUGGAACCUGGAGACACACUGUUGGUGUGUUUUGCCCCACAGAGACACGACCAGUUGUUCCAAGGCAAAGAUCUAGGCUUGUACGCUGUGGACUGACUGCUAUAGGGCCAGCACUGAAGCUUGCCUGACCAGUAUUUCACUGGGUUUAUCACUAAGGCUGAUGUCCCCAUCUGGCAGGUGCAGCCACAGGACCACACAGAUCCAUCCUACAGACAGAUGUCCUCUUCAUUGUCUCCACAUCAACACUGUUUGGGAAACAGCUAACUUUAUUGUCUAGCCUAGCUUUAGCUUUUCCCUGGACUCAGCAGCAACCCGAUUACAACUCUGGCAUCCUGAUCAUCACUACCAUCCAUGACAGCAACAGAUUCAUCCCCAUCAACUUCAAGAGUUCCCAAAUACAGUGACCUGAUGAUGGAGUACAAGUCAUGCAGGAGGGGGAUGACCUCAGAGAUGGAGACACUAUGUUUUGAGAGUGCCUGUUUGACCUCCACCAGCUGCUGGAGCAUAUAGAAUGUAUAGUUCCACCUUGUUGUUAUAUCUGUUAUGAGCGUGUGCAGAGGGAGAUCCAGCUGCAUCUGCAGCUCAUGUAGUCUGUUGCUGGCUUUGCUUGAGCAAUGAAUAAAGCCAGAGAUGCCUGUGGCCUUGGAGAGAAGGGAUCUCACAAACCUGGUCAACUCCAGUGCUUCGCCACCAAGUGAAGUGUACAGGACACGCAACGAAUGUGCCCAUAACUCAGGGCCUUCACUAUGUUGGCUGCAUUAUCUGAAACAACAAACACUAUUGUAAUAGACUGCUCAACAGACUCUUCCCACGCUCUUAUCUUUUCCUUAAGGCAGCACAGAAUGUUUUCUGAUGUGUGCUCAAUGUCUAGCACACCAACAUUUAGCAGCCCUGCUUUCCCCUGUACUGAAGACUCCCCUCCACAUUCACACCAGUGCCCAGUAAUACAGAGAUAUGUGUGAGCAUUGUGGUAGCUGGUCCAGAGAUCAGUAGUGAGGUUGAUGACACCUCCCUCAGCUGCCUUAAGUGACUGGACCAACUCCCCUCUCAUUGCCUCAUAAAGCUCAGGCACUACAGUUAGACUGAAAAAGUACUUCGAUGGGAUCUUAUAUUUGGGCUCUGGAAAGGCAAAUGACUUGAAACCUCUCCCCUCCACCACAGGGAAAAGCUCAAGAUUAGCGCAGAUCAUUUUACCUAUUAUCACUGUAAUUUUUUUUGACCAAGAGUGGUUUGCUGGGAAUUGCUGCUUGGCUGCAAAUGCCUGAUUUGGUGGGCUUUCUCAUGUGAUGAACAUAUAACAUGAUUAUGUAGAGAUGAUGUAUUAUAAUGUUUUGAAUCCCUACCUCAGCUGAUUUUGGACUUCCAAAGCUUAGAAAUGGCUUUGGAGGGAUCCCUUUCACAAAUGGUGAAAGAGUCCUAUACUGUAGAGGUCCUCUUGGUCUUUGGUGGAGGAGGACCACCAUAACCAGAUGCAAUAUUGGUCCCAGUGGGGGGAAAAUGGGUAGUUUCAUUGCCACUGACUUGAUCCUCACUGCCCUAUAAGGUUGAGCAAACCCUGACUGCUGGUUCAGUGUCAAUGAAAUUACACUCUGUAUCACUCAUUGUAUAAUCACUGAUGGUAUAAGUUUCAAAUAAAUAGCAUAAAAAUGUGAGAGAGUGGGAGGGAGAGAGAGAGAGAGUGUGUGUGUGUGUUUGUGUGUCUGUGCAGUCAAACACAUUGGCUAUGUAACAGUUCAAUAUAUAUCCAAAUAUUUAAAUCCCAUAAAUAAAGUCUAUAUAUAUUUAAGGCCUUAAUUUGUAAUAUUUAUACUAUUAUUUAUUGUUAUGAGCUAUAGUGAGAAAAAGUGUCAGGCACUCAGUGCAUGAACAGCCAUAUUUAAUAAAAAUAAAUAAUGAAAAUGUGUUCAGCAAAUAAUGUGUGUGUGUGUUUGUGUGUGUGUGUGUGUGUGUGUGUGUGUGUGAAUGGAUGGUCAAGUAGUUAUGUGCUAUAGUAGAUACACAAUGCAAGAUUCAGCCUGUUUUUUUUAUUUGCAGCCUAGAUCAUUUUUAUGAGUGUGUGAGUGUUACGUGUAUGUAUGUACAUGAAACAGUGUGUAUUGUGCAUGAUCGUUGUGAUUGUACCUGUGUGUCCAUGUAUGUGGGUGCACAUUUCACAUUUGUCCUCUUUCACCUUGUCCUCUAACAGAUACAAGGCUGCAUGUUCAACAUGUGCACGUGCAGCAUAAUAACGUUCACCAUCACUCCUCUCCUCUCCAUUUCAAUACUGUUUCUCUCUCUUUUUGUUACCAUCACACUCAUACGUGCAAACACACACACAUGGCACCACACUUUCUCUCUCUGGAAAGUACACUCCACGCCUGCCCAGCAGCCCUGGAGUGUGAUUCAUGUGUGUUUUUCUUCCUUGCUGUUCUGCGGUUGGAAUAUACAGUAGCUAAGGCUGAAACCACCUGUUCUCCCUCUAGGAAGAGAUGGAGAGGCAGAGAUCGAAAGAGAGUACAACACAAAGUUAGGAUGCUGCAGAGAGAAAACGAAAAAGAGAGUCUGUCGCUCCAAGGGAUGGACAAAAUGAUGGAAACACUACACGAAAGGCUAACUUUGAAGCAGCUAAAUCCUAGAGGCAGCAACAGAGUCUUUAUGCUAAGCUAACCAGCUGCUGGCUGAAGCUUCUUAUUGAACGGACAGAUAUAAGAGUGGUAUCGAUCCUCUCAUCUAACACUCAGCAAGACAGUAAGCAAAUGCUAAAGGUUAGAAAGUUUUGAAGGUCGUGCCAACUCUGCUUCCACCAUCCAUCUACAAGAGAAGAGGAAAAGUCUUCAGACCCACCACUGAGGAGUCCCAGAGGUCAUUUAUUGACAUGCAACCUUUAAGUUUUGCUUUAGUUUUUGAAGGUUUUUACUGCUUGAUAUGAUUGAUAACUAUGAAGUUUAAUUUCUCAUUUCGUUUUACAUUCACAGUUUGUUAUUUUUUCUUUUCAAACAUUCUGGCCCUAAAUUACCUUCAUAGAUAACCCUCUAGUGAUUACGGGAGUUCUGUAGCCAACUAUUUGAGAUGGAGCAGAUUUUUAUGAUGGCAGUGCCUAAUACUCUCAAACACAGGGGCAUGACUGAAGUUACUGAUGGCUAAAUUGGUCUGGUGUUUUAUCUACAGUCCUUCUUUUUAGCACCAGGGUUGUUCAUCAUAUCCUGUGUAUUCAUGAAUAGGAGCUUCCAAACAAUGAAAUUUAUUCACUUAACACUAUACCUGUAAGAUCUGAUGUGUGCAAAUAGCAGCGCAGGUGUGUGGGUUUGUGUUUUUAAUUGUUAAUGACAUUAUCAACAUUAAAGUAAUAUUAACAAUAGUAUUAUUUGCCCAAACUACUAUUUCAAAAUAAGUUUUGUAUUAAGUUGCAAAGACUGGGUUUGAAUACAAAUUUAAUUUGUUUGCCUUAAACAUAUUUGCAUUCUCAUAUUUUGCAAUGUUUAUACAUAUUUGCAAUCGAUGGUUUUUGGUGAUCUUACUUUUAUUUCUUUUUUGCAUUUUGAUACUAUCACAAAGUAAGCUCCAUAACUUCAGUUUCAGUUAUAUUGCAACACUAAGUGACUGAUGUGUAAUUAACAGGUGGGGGCCAACAUGGUUGAGUAUUUACAAAAUACAGAGACCAAUUAACCGUUCUCGCACAUUUUGUGCCUUGGGGAUGAGAUGACUACAUGCCAGGCCUUCACCAAUAAUUUCUGGCCACGCCAUCGAAACAGACUCCUUGCUGGGGGCUGUUGAUGUUUGUUUCAAGGCAUUCUCUGUGUUUGACAUCAAUUACACCAAGCUGUUCAGUUGGGUUAUUUUUCAACCCAGCAUUCUUUUGAGUAUAUGUUUCUGUCUAUUUUGCUGUCACAUUGUAAUAACCCUAAAUGUAUAUGUAAAUUGGGUGCCUUCUUGAAGAAUCUUUAGCCUUUGUUUAAGUUAUUUAUAGUGCACUUUUAUUCCUGCUGUGUGCUGUUGUUUUUUCAUUAUUGUAUCAUGUCAUUAUUAUAGUUGAGGUCCUCGACUUUCUCUUUUUGUACUUUAAGUGCAUGUUUUCCUGUCACAUAUUUAACUGCAGUUUAAGUUGUCUUUUCUUUAAAUUGAGGAGGAUACUAAAUAUGAUCCACACCAUAUUUGUGGUCUUCAUUCCAUCAUUUUUCAUACACAAGAGUUACAACAGAGAACAUUUACCAGGACGACACUAUGAACAACAAUGUGUGCCACUGUACUAUAUAUGCUGUGCUGAAUAUGUAGAUGGAGAAAAGACGUGUUCUGUGAUCACUGGAAAACUUUAGAUUAUACAACGCUUGUUUAUAUUUAGAGUGAACAGAUCACAGAAAGAGGCCAGCAGUAAUGUAUGAGUCUGAAGAAGCGAUCCAAUGCUACUAAGUCACUCCAUACCUUUCAUGGAGUGUAAUAAUUUGCUUUGGUAAUCAGGACACAAGCUCUGCAUCCCAAGAGAUGGGAAAACUAGCAGCAUCGGCCACAAAUGGAGCCUUGCAGUAGUUCAGGCAAGGCCAGAAGAUGCUUAAUAUACACAUUCCAUAUACCAUCCGAUCAUGUAUGACCAUGACCUAUCCAUAUAAACUAGGUGAUCCCUGUAUAGUGCUGUACAAAGUUUUGAUGUCAUUUGAAUUCUCAACACUGCAUCCCACUAUACUGCUAACUUAACUCCCUCUACUCCCCCAGUCUCUUCCUGCAUUAGCAUUUAGAUGUAGGUGAAAUCAGAAUGUUUUUCUCUUUAUGCGUUCUUGUUCAUUCAAAUGUUGUGUACCCAAGGUUCGGCUGGUUGAGGGGGGUGGGGGUUCACCAGCUCAGAGACAGUUCAUGUCGGGUUCACACAGAUUUGUUUCUGAAUCAUCAGAGCAGAGCCGAACCACCAAAUUCAAAUGUUUGUUAUUGUUGAAAUAAAGCCUUGAC